This 460-nucleotide ribosomal RNA is filed under the name uncultured bacterium. RNAcentral's name for it is "partial 16S ribosomal RNA". It matches the Rfam family "Bacterial small subunit ribosomal RNA", at positions 338 to 795 of the family's 1533-position model. The record is from RNAcentral.
CCUACGGGUGGCAGCAGUGAGGAAUUUUGGUCAAUGGACGAGAGCCUGAACCAGCCAAGCAGCGUGAAGGAGGACUGUCCUAUGGGUUUUAAACUUCUUUUAUGUGGGAAUAAAAUGUUGCACGUGUGUGCUUUUGUAUGUAUCUUAUGAUUCAGGAUCGGCUAACGCCGUGCCAGCCGCCGCGGUAAUACGGUGGAUCCGAGCGUUGUCCGGAUAUGUUGGGUUUAAAGGGAGAGUAGGUGGAUUGUUAAGUCAGUUGUGAAAGUGUGCGGCUCAACCGGAAAAUUGCAGUUGAAACUGGCAGUCUAGAGUACAGUAGAGGUGGGCGGAAUUCGAGGUGUAGCGGUGAAAUGCUUAGAUAUCGCGAAGAACUCCGAUUGCGAAGGCAGUUCACUGGACUGCAACUGACACUGAGGCACGAAAGUGUGGGUAUCAAACAGGAUUAGAUACCCCUGUAGUC